RNAcentral lists this ribosomal RNA (301 nucleotides) under uncultured bacterium. RNAcentral describes it as "partial 16S ribosomal RNA". It matches the Rfam family "Bacterial small subunit ribosomal RNA", at positions 509 to 807 of the family's 1533-position model. The record is from RNAcentral.
CAGUCGCCGCGGUAAUACGGAGGAUCCAAGCGUUAUCCGGAAUCAUUGGGUUUAAAGGGUCCGUAGGCGGUCUUGUAAGUCAGUGGUGAAAGCCCAUCGCUCAACGGUGGAACGGCCAUUGAUACUGCAGGACUUGAAUUAUUGGGAAGUAACUAGAAUAUGUAGUGUAGCGGUGAAAUGCUUAGAGAUUACAUGGAAUACCAAUUGCGAAGGCAGGUUACUACCAAUUGAUUGACGCUGAUGGACGAAAGCGUGGGUAGCGAACAGGAUUAGAGACCCCUGUAGUCCCUGUCUCUUAUAC